AGUGAACGCUGGCGGUAGGCCUAACACAUGCAAGUCGAACGGCAGCACAGUAAUAGCUUGCUCUUACGGGUGGCGAGUGGCGGACGGGUGAGGAAUACAUCGGAAUCUACUUUUUCGUGGGGGAUAACGUAGGGAAACUUACGCUAAUACCGCAUACGACCUACGGGUGAAAGCAGGGGAUCUUCGGACCUUGCGCGAUUGAAUGAGCCGAUGUCGGAUUAGCUAGUUGGCGGGGUAAAGGCCCACCAAGGCGACGAUCCGUAGCUGGUCUGAGAGGAUGAUCAGCCACACUGGAACUGAGACACGGUCCAGACUCCUACGGGAGGCAGCAGUGGGGAACAUUGGACAAUGGGCGCAAGCCUGAUCCAGCCAUACCGCGUGGGUGAAGAAGGCCUUCGGGUUGUAAAGCCCUUUUGUUGGGAAAGAAAAGCAGCAGGUUAAUACCCCGCUGUUCUGACGGUACCCAAAGAAUAAGCACCGGCUAACUUCGUG
RNAcentral lists this ribosomal RNA (492 nucleotides) under uncultured bacterium. RNAcentral describes it as "partial 16S ribosomal RNA". It matches the Rfam family "Bacterial small subunit ribosomal RNA", at positions 29 to 507 of the family's 1533-position model. The record is from RNAcentral.